GUCCUUAUCUGGAUGGCAGGGCUGGUAACUUGUAUCCUGGGAGGCUUCUGGGAUAAAGCUUUAUGAUGCCCAAGUGUUGAAGCUCCUGCUGGCACACCUAGGCAUCCCCUCCUGGCCUUAUUCACAACUCCUUCAGUCAAAGCCUGUGCCAGCCAGGCUCCUUCUCUGGGGCAGGUGCGAACUGCUUGGGCAUCCUUCCGGGAAGGGAGCUCCCAGCUCCUGGCAGGAGCGGCUUCGCAGUCACACCGCUGUUUGCAGACUCCCUGGUGCUCUCAGCCCCCUCACUCCAGAGCUGCACUCCUCAGAACUACAAACCCCAUUGGCCAUCUCCUGGGCACAGUCACUACCUCUGUCAGCACCCUAUGACAGACUCCUUGGCCAGCAAGUGAGGAGGAAUGCACGGAAGGCCCAGAGCCGCAGAGCUGAAAGUGAACACCUGUAUCUGGAUGCAGCUGCGUUCCUGCAUACCUCCGCUGUGGGCAGGAUGGUGGCCACGACAUGGUGGCCGCAGGGACUACUAACUGGUUACUCAUGUCAGCUCUUCUUCAGAGGAGGUGGAGCUUUGAUGAAGGAGGUGGAGCCUCGAUGGAGAUGGAGCCUCAGUGAGACAGGUGGAGCCUCAGUGAAGGUGGUGUAGCCUCAAUGAAGGAGGUGGAGCCUUGAUGAAGGCGGUGGAGACUCAGUAGAGGAGGUGGAGCUUCAAUGAAGGAGAUGGAGCCUCCAUGAUGGGCCUUGAGUGAAGAAGGGAAUAUGAUCCUGGCUCCCCUGGCUGGAUCCUCUGUGUUCUCCAGGACUUCGCUCUUCCUACUUCCGGACCUCACCUAUUCUCCAGAACACCGAAGGUCAGAAGGUCCAUCUUUUUGCAGGCAGAGACUGCCCGAGCUCGUUAAGAAACCUGACCCACACUCUCUCCUUAGAGAAGGAAACCGAAGCUCCACGACGCCCCCAAGUAACUUCCCCAAGGCCACCCAGCAAACGAGCCGUAGAAUUGCCUUUUAUCGUGGAAUCAAGAGCUUCCGGAAGUUUCCGGCUCUCCGGAACUUCUUCCUUCUGGUCAGGGUCCUUCUACUCGCAGCCCAGCCAGGUGCAUAUUAGCAUAAAACAUCCCUAGGUGGGACUCUUUCCGCCCUGGCGGCUCCCACGCCCGCGCCUGCUGCCGGGCUCUGGCCUCUGCCUGGGCACCGGCUCCUUGCCCGCUUAAGGUUCGAGCACCUGCCGGGAGGCGCGGGAAGCGCUCGCCCGGGUACGGUGCACCCUCCCUGGCUGGGCCCGCUGCCCGGUGCUCGCAGCGCUCCUGAAUAUGGGACGGCUUGAUUGACCUUGGCAAGAGGCAGCCAAGCUCCCAGAGGCUUGCCCUCCCCAUCCCCUCUCGGCGCUGGCGCCAGAGCUCUGGUUUCUUCCGCCACUACCUCUAGCGUGCGCCCAGACAGGAUUUUGGGGAGGGGUCUUGGGAGGAGCCAAAUCCGACCCCCCAUUGCGUCCUGGCUGGCCCGAGAUGAGCUAGUGUGAGCGUCUUCCUGCAAAUUAAGUCGUCUCGGCACUCUCCAUCCGGAGGGCACUGGGGCAGCAGUCGAUGUCUCGGCGGACCCGCUGCUUCCUGAACCAAUCCAAGCCAGCUCAGGGUCAAGAGGGGGGUGACAAUUGGGCCCCUCACUAACUUGAAUCUAGCUAGCUUCCAAAGGUUUCCAAGAAACCCUUCUCUUCUGCCCCAUCAGCACAAACAGCCAGAGAACAGAUCCAGUUCAGUGGUGCUAUUUCUUCGGAGACGUCGGUGGUCCUUAGACAACGCCAUCUCUCUGUUUUCCCACGUGUGAAUCUGGGCAACAGUAUUGUCUUGUUUGUUUGCCUGGCUGGCUUUCCUGAAGAUCCACUAAGCACCCUCAAAGCACACCGCGGGGCCUUCGUAUCCUCAUCCAAAGGGCUUGGAGAACUCUGGGACAGUUCCCACCGCUUAACAAACGUUGCCUGUGUCUGUCGUUUUCUGUUAAAAGAACUUGAAGCCCUCGCCCUUUGAUAGAAGGGGGAUGAGAGAAUGUAAUAUGCUUUAACGACUGAGAUGAAGAAUUUUGGAAUAUAAUUGUAUUCUGGGGAAGGGGUGGGGGAAUCCUAAACUCCCAGAUUUUCUCAGGAAACAAAACUCAAAUGAAAGACCGGUUCCCAAUGUCUGCUGUUUUACAAGCAAUGUGGUUUGUUGUUGCUUAAUUACAAUCAGACCCAUUUUAUAGAGGGAACUGAGGCCUGUAAAGUAAUGCUCCAAGAUUACAGACUUCUAGAAACAAUGGCGUUAGUGACAAAAUCCACUCCUUGGCAUCCUACGUUCUGUGCUUUCCUUCCGGCCUCUGAGCUGCCGUCGGGCAUGCCUAUUUUGCGCGCGUUGCCCUUUCUGUGUUUUCUCCUGUGCUUUAUCGCUUUCUCCUUGGUACUGGUGAUUAAAAAGUAAAAAAAGAACC
RNAcentral lists this long non-coding RNA (2450 nucleotides) under Mus musculus (house mouse). RNAcentral's name for it is "predicted gene, 16863". Lineage: Eukaryota; Metazoa; Chordata; Mammalia; Rodentia; Muridae. The record is from RNAcentral.